GACGAACGCUGGCGGCGUGCCUAAUACAUGCAAGUAGAACGCUGAAGGAGGAGCUUGCUCUUCUGGAUGAGUUGCGAACGGGUGAGUAACGCGUAGGUAACCUGCCUGGUAGCGGGGGAUAACUAUUGGAAACGAGAGCUAAUACCGCAUAAUAGUAGAUGUUGCAUGAUAUGUACUUAAAAGGUGCAAUUGCACCACUACCAGAUGGACCUGCGUUGUAUUAGCUAGUUGGUGGGGUAACGGCUCACCAAGGCGACGAUACAUAGCCGACCUGAGAGGGGGAUCGGCCACACUGGGACGGAGACACGGCACAGACUCCUACGGGAGGCAGCAGUAGGGAAUCUUCGGCAAGGGACGAAAGUCUGAGCGCGCAACGCCGAGGGAGGGAAGAAGGUUUUCGGAUCGUAAAGGUCGGUUGUAAGAGAAGAACGAGCGUGAGAGUGGAAAGUUCACACUGUGACGGUAACUUAUCAGAAAGGGACGGCUAACUACGUG
RNAcentral lists this ribosomal RNA (495 nucleotides) under uncultured bacterium. RNAcentral's name for it is "partial 16S ribosomal RNA". It matches the Rfam family "Bacterial small subunit ribosomal RNA", at positions 28 to 507 of the family's 1533-position model. The record is from RNAcentral.